Long non-coding RNA from Ornithodoros turicata, 907 nucleotides. RefSeq lists it as uncharacterized. Lineage: Eukaryota; Metazoa; Arthropoda; Arachnida; Ixodida; Argasidae. The transcript has 2 exons. The record is from RefSeq and is a predicted model, not a curated record.
CUUCCACAACGGGGAAAGUUGAGUUGUUGAGUUCCAAUGAACCUUACAAUUUGGAUUGCCACGUAUGUUGACUGUUUUGGACAAUCUGCGGGAAGUUGUUGGAUUUAACGACGUACUGAAUUCAUUCAACGUCCAAUCUUCAUUCACUUACGCUCUUCAACGUCCAAUCUUGCCGUGCUGCUUGGGCAUUUGUACAACACGGGGGCCACGUUUUGGACCACAACCUCAACCCAGAACCACCGUUCGGACGGCCCGAGUUCAAAGUGUUUACACCCCUAAUUGGGCUGUUCUAAAUUUUUGACAGGAGUGUCACCUCUCAGUGCCCUCCCUCUGGUGCAGAUUUACGGACAGCGGUCACGGCUUUCGAACUGUGCACCCCGUUACGUUGAGCGGUGCAAGGUCCAGGUGUCGCUCCCCUGAUAUAGUGCCGUGGGGAUAGUGAGGUUUUCCGCGAACUCUCGAGCUUCCACUGCCACGCCCGCAAUAGCUGUACACCCCGUACAGAUAGCGUUAGAAGUGUUAGUGGCUCUGUGCACUCACAACAACAAAGACUGUUGCGCGCAGUGCGCUGAACCACCACGCUAUCCCUUAUGUACGCAAAGGCGACAGCAUUCGACGUGUCGUUUUCUCACGUUAAAUACGAUAACCUGUACGUAUGGGAGUCACACAAAAAUGAAGAACCGCAGCGCUUUCUCAAGUACCUGCGGCGUACCGGUCUCCUCAGCGGCCUGCGACAUCAUGGGUGGGGCCGACGGAGGGCCCCCGAACCCACAUUGCCUUAAUCUGACUGCCCUAGGAAAACGACUACCCAUUAAGGAAUUAUUUACCAAUAAAUAGGAAGCCAUCCAUCCUGGCUGACUUUUCCUUCUAAAAUAAACAGACUGCAGCAAAAAAAGAAGAAAAAAAA